UUCUGGGAGGAUUGACAGAUUGAGAGCUCUUUCUUGAUUCGGAGGAUGGUGGUGCAUGUCCGUUCUUAGUUGGUGUAGUGAUUUGUCUGGGUAAUUCCGAUAACGAGUGAAACUCUAGCCUAUUAAAUAGGUGCCUGGUUCUUUGCGCCUUGCACCCUUCCUAGAGGCACAAGCGGUUCCUAGCCGCACGAAACAGAGCAAUAACAAGUCUGUGAUGCCCUUCGAU
Molecule: ribosomal RNA, 226 nt
Filed under: Ixodes scapularis (black-legged tick)
Lineage: Eukaryota; Metazoa; Arthropoda; Arachnida; Ixodida; Ixodidae
Description: eukaryotic small subunit ribosomal RNA
Rfam family: Eukaryotic small subunit ribosomal RNA
Source: RNAcentral